UACGUAGGGGGCAAGCGUUGUCCGGAUUUAUUGGGCGUAAAGAGCGUGUAGGCGGCCAGGUAGGUCUGCUGUGAAAACUCAAGGCUUAACCUCGAGCUGUCGGCGGAAACCAUCUGGCUAGAGUCCGGAAGAGGAGAAUGGAAUUCCCGGUGUAGUGGUGAAAUGCGUAGAUAUCGGGAGGAACACCAGUGGCGAAGGCGACUUCCUGGCCUGUUCUAGACGCUGAGGCGCGAAAGCUAGGGGAGCAAACGGG
Molecule: ribosomal RNA, 253 nt
Filed under: uncultured bacterium
Lineage: Bacteria
Description: partial 16S ribosomal RNA
Rfam family: Bacterial small subunit ribosomal RNA
Source: RNAcentral